GUGUGUUUGUGAGACUAUUUCUGUUUCCUUUUUAUUCUCUGAUGAGAAACUCUGUCUGCCAGGAACUCAAGGCUGUUAGACACUCUGUCUGCCAGGAACUCAAGAUUGUUAGACACUCUGUCUGCCAGGAAUUCAAGAUUGUUAGACACUCUGUCUGCCAGGAACUCAAGAUUGUUAGACACUCUGUCUGCCAGGAACUCAAGGCUGUUAGACACUCUGUCUGCCAAGAACUCAAGGUUGUUAGACACUCUGUCUGCCAGGAACUCAAGGUUGUUAGACACUCUGUCUGCCAGGAACUCAAGGCUGUUAGACACUCUGUCUGCCAG
Long non-coding RNA from Oncorhynchus tshawytscha (Chinook salmon), 326 nucleotides. Lineage: Eukaryota; Metazoa; Chordata; Actinopteri; Salmoniformes; Salmonidae. The record is from Ensembl.